This 210-nucleotide non-coding RNA is filed under the name Nitrincola sp. A-D6. RNAcentral also lists the same sequence under 1 other name. The record is from RNAcentral. Lineage: Bacteria; Pseudomonadati; Pseudomonadota; Gammaproteobacteria; Oceanospirillales; Oceanospirillaceae.
AUUUGAUUUGCUCAUUAAGGUGUCGCGUGAUUCAUGCACGCGAUUAAACGGGAAACAGGUGCUGACACCCGUCAAAAGCCUGUGCUGCCCCCGCAACGGUAAGAUGUUGUCAUCGCAAACGCCACUGUGUUACUAAAACAUGGGAAGGCGCGAUGAACUGCGCUCUGCGCCGCAUCAAGCCCGGAUACCGGCCUAAGUGAGACUACUGUU